UUCUAGCCCUGAUUGUAACGACAUCCUUUUGUGGUGGGGUUCACCACAAAAGAUAUAGUGAAAAGCAGGAAUCAGC
Molecule: small RNA, 76 nt
Organism: Oryza sativa Indica Group (long-grained rice)
Lineage: Eukaryota; Viridiplantae; Streptophyta; Magnoliopsida; Poales; Poaceae
Rfam family: Flavo-1 RNA
Source: Rfam